GAUGAACGCUGGCGGCGUGCCUAAUACACGCAAGUCGAGCGAACGGACGAGAAGCUUGCUUCUCUGAUGUUAGCGGCGGACGGGUGAGUAACACGUGGAUAACCUACCUAUAAGACUGGGAUAACUUCGGGAAACCGUAGCUAAUACCGGAUAAUAUUUUGAACCGCAUGGUUCAAAAGUGAAAGACGGUCUUGCUGUCACUUAUAGAUGGAUCCGCGCUGCAUUAGCUAGUUGGUAAGGUAACGGCUUACCAAGGCAACGAUGCAUAGCCGACCUGAGAGGGUGAUCGGCCACACUGGAACUGAGACACGGUUCAGACUCCUACGGGAGGCAGCAGUAGGGAAUCUUCCGCAAUGGGCGAAAGCCUGACGGAGCAACGCCGCGUGAGUGAUGAAGGUCUUCGGAUCGUAAAACUCUGUUAUUAGGGAAGAACAUAUGUGUAAGUAACUGUGCACAUCUUGACGGUACCUAAUCAGAAAGCCACGGCUAACUACGUG
RNAcentral lists this ribosomal RNA (497 nucleotides) under uncultured bacterium. RNAcentral describes it as "partial 16S ribosomal RNA". It matches the Rfam family "Bacterial small subunit ribosomal RNA", at positions 28 to 507 of the family's 1533-position model. The record is from RNAcentral.